This 497-nucleotide ribosomal RNA is filed under the name uncultured bacterium. Its description in RNAcentral is "partial 16S ribosomal RNA". It matches the Rfam family "Bacterial small subunit ribosomal RNA", at positions 28 to 507 of the family's 1533-position model. The record is from RNAcentral.
GAUGAACGCUGGCGGCGUGCCUAAUACAUGCAAGUCGAGCGAACAGACGAGGAGCUUGCUCCUCUGACGUUAGCGGCGGACGGGUGAGUAACACGUGGAUAACCUACCUAUAAGACUGGGAUAACUUCGGGAAACCGGAGCUAAUACCGGAUAAUAUAUUGAACCGCAUGGUUCAAUAGUGAAAGACGGUUUUGCUGUCACUUAUAGAUGGAUCCGCGCCGCAUUAGCUAGUUGGUAAGGUAACGGCUUACCAAGGCAACGAUGCGUAGCCGACCUGAGAGGGUGAUCGGCCACACUGGAACUGAGACACGGUCCAGACUCCUACGGGAGGCAGCAGUAGGGAAUCUUCCGCAAUGGGCGAAAGCCUGACGGAGCAACACCGCGUGAAUGAUGAAGGUCUUCGGAUCGUAAAACUCUGUUAUUAGGGAAGAACAAAUGUGUAAGUAACUAUGCACGUCUUGACGGUACCUAAUCAGAAAGCCACGGCUAACUACGUG